This 700-nucleotide ribosomal RNA is filed under the name uncultured bacterium. RNAcentral's name for it is "bacterial SSU rRNA". It matches the Rfam family "Bacterial small subunit ribosomal RNA", at positions 94 to 826 of the family's 1533-position model. The record is from RNAcentral.
AGUGGCGGACGGGUGAGUAACACGUAAGAAUUUGCCUUUAGGAGGGGGACAACAGCUGGAAACGGCUGCUAAUACCCCAUAUGCUUUCGAGUGAAAUGGAUUUCCGCCUGAAGAGAAGCUUGCGGCUGAUUAGCUUGUUGGUGAGGUAAUGGCUCACCAAGGCGACGAUCAGUAUCUGGUUUGAGAGGACGAUCAGACACACUGGAACUGAGACACGGUCCAGACUCCUACGGGAGGCAGCAGUGGGGAAUUUUCCGCAAUGGGCGAGAGCCUGACGGAGCAAUCUCGCGUGAGGGAUGACUGCCUAUGGGUUGUAAACCUCUUUUUUCAGGGAGGAAUUAAGGACGUGUACCUGAAGAAUAAGCAUCGGCUAACUCCGUGCCAGCAGCCGCGGUAAGACGGAGGAUGCAAGUGUUAUCCGGAAUCACUGGGCGUAAAGCGUCUGUAGGUGGUUUAAUAAGUCAACUGUUAAAUCUUGAAGCUCAACUUCAAAAUCGCAGUCGAAACUAUUAGACUAGAGUAUAGUAGGGGUAAAGGGAAUUUCCAGUGGAGCGGUGAAAUGCGUAGAGAUUGGAAAGAACACCGAUGGCGAAGGCACUUUACUGGGCUAUUACUAACACUCAGAGACGAAAGCUAGGGUAGCAAAUGGGAUUAGAUACCCCAGUAGUCCUAGCCGUAAACAAUGGAUACUAGAUGUUGA